UUUUCUUCCCUAUUCUUCUUCUCCUCCUCUCUGUCGAUUUCAUCUUCAGUGGUUUGAGCUUGAGUAUCUCGAGUUUAGUUCAUGUAAAGCUUGUAGUUGUUGAAUUGAGGAUGCAGGUGAUGAUGAUGCUGUCGAUUGGGUGUUGGAAGAAGCAGAAAGUUGGGUUUGAGAAAUAAUCGAGUUACGGUUUCAAUUGAGGUUCAAAGAAGAAUUAGAAGAUAAAUAUGAUGGUUUAGGGGAUUGAAUAAGAUGGUUUUAUCAUGGAUUAGAAUAUGAAGUUGAAGAUUGGUUUGAAUUUGAUAUUUAGGGUUUCUGCAAUUGGCUUUGAUUAUGUGUGAAAUUGAAGUUGUUUUUGAAAUUAAAGUUGAUGAAUUAUAACUGAUGAAGAGCUAGGGUUUGAUUAUCGUAUUAAGAAGAUGAUGGAGUUAUCAGUGAUGGUGAUUCAGAUGUUGAAUCGAACUCAGGAGAAGAAUAGAAAAGGUAAUUUAGAGUUCUGUUAUUUGAAUCUGUUUUACUCAAAUUUUGAGUAUGAGUGUAUGAAUUUUGUUUGCGUUGUUUAUUUUGAAGUGAAAUUGAUUUGUGUUGAUUGAUUCUGGAUGGGUUUUAAUUAGAAUUCAGAUAGAGAUGUUGCGUGAGGUUGAGUUAGAGCUUCCUUAUGGAAUCAAGUGUUACAGGUUAGGUUAGUAAUUCAGUUGAAGAUGAAUUAGGAUUUCAGCUAUCUUGAAAGAUAAGAAGAGAUGUGCAUAUGUUUUUAAGAUUUGAGUUUGAGAAGAUAGAAAUUGAGUAUUGAAUUGAUUAUGAUAUAGAGCGGUGGAUUGUAGCUUAGAUUUGUGUUUUGAUUCAGGGAUAAGGAAAUGGUGGUGUUGUUAGAAUUCUGAGUUUGUAUCUAAGAAAUUGAUGUAGCCUUGCAGGAUGUUGAUACAACUUGGGGACGAACUCCAACUGGUGGUGAUGAACUGAGAAUGAGAUGAGUGUAGAUGAACCUGAUUCUAGGGUUAUUAGUUAGUGUCAUGGAGUUAGAGAUGGUGAUGUUAGUGAUCAGAUGUGGAGUUAGUGGUGCAUUAAGAAUGAAAUGAAGUUGGAGUUGCAGGACCAUGAAGUGUCACUCUCUCAGACCAGAUCUGCAGAAGAAGAAAAAUCCUGCCAUUGAAACCAGAGCAGUUGGAGGCACCAAUCUGGAAUUUUAGGUCAUAUUUCACAAGUAUGUUCAUGGAACUGGUAGUUGGAUGAUAUGAAAGCAAAUGACCUGAAAGUAUAAACCUUGUGUCCACUUUGCUGAUAUGAGAGCUACAGAUGUUGAGAAGAUUCUCUUAAAACAAAGAAGCAGCAAUAUGAAGUAGAUUAAGUUCAAGUCUGACGCGGGAGCCUUGGUGCGCACUAAAGGAAAGUAGGAAAGCAGCAUUUUUGGGUGGGGUGUUGGUGCCGAUGACAUGUGGUUGUGCUUGUAGAUGAGGCAUAUGCCUAAGAAAGCGUUAACUGAAGCCAAUGAUGCAAAAACUGGAGGAAGUAAGCUUUUUGGGUCUGGGCAGUAUUAAGAUGCCUUGUUGUUAAGUGUAUGAGCUUGCGUUACAGGUUGUUACAUGUCAUGGAAGUAGAGCUGCUUGCUUCUCAAAUUCGUUGAAACAUGAUAUUCACAGCGUAAAUAUGAGGAGACUAUUAAGGAAUUCGACAAAUCUUUGGAGUUAAAUCCUGCAUAUAUGAAAGAUCUGAUUAGAGAGUGGAGGCUCACGAAAAGCUUCAACACUUUGAAGAAGCUAUGCUAGACGUGAAGAAAACUGUGGACUUGGGUCCUUCAAAUAAUCAAGCUAGAAGAUCCAUUGUACGCUUGGAGCCCUUAGCUGCAGAAAAGCGGGAAAAGAUGAAAGAGGAGAUGAUUACUGGAACUGGCAGCUUACAGGCUGGCGCAAUCAUAGCUUUGAGAUUUAGUGGGGACUUCAGAUUAUAGUGUUGAAUCAGUACCAAGUGUUCAAGGAAACUACACUAUUGCAACUCGAAGCCAAAAUGGAAGCCGCAUCAGAAGAACCAGUUCGCAAGUAGGAGUUUCUUAUAUUCUUCGUAAAUGUACGUCUCUUCUCUUACUUUUGAAACUAAACUAAGUUAAGAGUAUUGAUUGAAAUCUAGAGGAAAUGUAGUUACAAAUGAUAAGCAUAAUUGUUUCCUUCCCUUUCUUUUGUAAAGUGCGGUUGAUGUUUAAACAUGUAUCACUGGAUAUAUCAAUAUUGGAAUUUGAUUGAUUGAUUGAA
This is a long non-coding RNA of Papaver somniferum (opium poppy), 2243 nucleotides long. RefSeq lists it as uncharacterized. The transcript has 8 exons. The record is from RefSeq and is a predicted model, not a curated record. Lineage: Eukaryota; Viridiplantae; Streptophyta; Magnoliopsida; Ranunculales; Papaveraceae.